Molecule: ribosomal RNA, 813 nt
Filed under: Streptomyces sp. 13bB
Lineage: Bacteria; Bacillati; Actinomycetota; Actinomycetes; Kitasatosporales; Streptomycetaceae
Description: bacterial SSU rRNA
Rfam family: Bacterial small subunit ribosomal RNA
Source: RNAcentral
UAAAUGCAGUCGAACGAUGAACCGCUUUCGGGCGGGGAUUAGUGGCGAACGGGUGAGUAACACGUGGGCAAUCUGCCCUGCACUCUGGGACAAGCCCUGGAAACGGGGUCUAAUACCGGAUACUCACUGCCUUGGGCAUCCUUGGUGGUGGAAAGCUCCGGCGGUGCAGGAUGAGCCCGCGGCCUAUCAGCUAGUUGGUGAGGUAAUGGCUCACCAAGGCGACGACGGGUAGCCGGCCUGAGAGGGCGACCGGCCACACUGGGACUGAGACACGGCCCAGACUCCUACGGGAGGCAGCAGUGGGGAAUAUUGCACAAUGGGCGAAAGCCUGAUGCAGCGACGCCGCGUGAGGGAUGACGGCCUUCGGGUUGUAAACCUCUUUCAGCAGGGAAGAAGCGAGAGUGACGGUACCUGCAGAAGAAGCGCCGGCUAACUACGUGCCAGCAGCCGCGGUAAUACGUAGGGCGCAAGCGUUGUCCGGAAUUAUUGGGCGUAAAGAGCUCGUAGGCGGCUUGUCACGUCGGUUGUGAAAGCCCGGGGCUUAACCCCGGGUCUGCAGUCGAUACGGGCAGGCUAGAGUUCGGUAGGGGAGAUCGGAAUUCCUGGUGUAGCGGUGAAAUGCGCAGAUAUCAGGAGGAACACCGGUGGCGAAGGCGGAUCUCUGGGCCGAUACUGACGCUGAGGAGCGAAAGCGUGGGGAGCGAACAGGAUUAGAUACCCUGGUAGUCCACGCCGUAAACGGUGGGCACUAGGUGUGGGCAACAUUCCACGUUGUCCGUGCCGCAGCUAACGCAUUAAGUGCCCCGCCUGGGG